CGUCUUAUUUCCGAGGGAGU
Molecule: small nuclear RNA, 20 nt
Filed under: Arabidopsis thaliana (thale cress)
Lineage: Eukaryota; Viridiplantae; Streptophyta; Magnoliopsida; Brassicales; Brassicaceae
Description: snRNA_09280
Source: RNAcentral